This is a long non-coding RNA of Olea europaea var. sylvestris, 347 nucleotides long. RefSeq lists it as uncharacterized. NCBI's taxonomy places the organism in Eukaryota, Viridiplantae, Streptophyta, Magnoliopsida, Lamiales, Oleaceae. The transcript is spliced from 3 exons. The record is from RefSeq and is a predicted model, not a curated record.
GAGACCUCAUUAACAUGCUACCAACCUGUCAUGAUGUUGCUGCUAAUCGUUGGGCUAAUUUCGUGGCCGUCGAUUUUUACAAGAGGAGCGAGGGAGGAGGAAGUUUCCAAGCGACGGACACCUUAAAUGGGGAGUUACUCUGUGGGUGUAACAACGUACACGCAUGUGUUGUGGGAUCAACUUCAGGAACAUGCAAUUCUGUACAAUAAUGAAUUGAUUUCACUAUCUUUUAAAAUGUAUUUGGACCAUAAUUUUCCAACAAGUGUAUAAUAUACAUUUGGAUGGUAUUGUGCAUUUCAGUCCUAUAUUUGGACUCGACCAACACUAUUUUGAUCGAUCUUCUUACA